Molecule: ribosomal RNA, 498 nt
Filed under: uncultured bacterium
Lineage: Bacteria
Description: partial 16S ribosomal RNA
Rfam family: Bacterial small subunit ribosomal RNA
Source: RNAcentral
GACGAACGCUGGCGGCAUGCCUAAUACAUGCAAGUUGAACGAUGAUAUUCUCUGCUUGCAGAGAAUUGAAGAGUAGCGAACGGGUGAGUAACACGUGGGGAACCUGCCCAUGAGAGGGGGAUAACAUUCGGAAACGGAUGCUAAUACCGCAUAAUACUUUGAACCGCCUGGUCCAGAGACGAAAGACGGCUUUUGCUGUCACUCAUGGAUGGCCCCGCGCCGUAUUAGCUAGUUGGUGAGGUAAUGGCUCACCAAAGCUGUGAUACGUAGCCGACCUGAGAGGGUGAUCAGCCACACUGGGACUGAGACACGGCCCAGACUCCUACGGGAGGCAGCAGUAGGGAAUCUUCCACAAUGGGCGAAAGCCUGAUGGAGCAAUGCCGCGUGAAUGAAGAAGGUCUUCGGAUCGUAAAGUUCUGUUAUUAGAGAAGAACAAGUCAAGGAGUAACUGUCUUGACUUUGACGGUACCUAAACAGAAAGUCACGGCUAACUACGUG